UGCCACUCUUAACGGGGUGGCUUUUCAGAAGUGUAAAAAGCUUCUGGAAUAAGGGCUGGGCAAGACCGGUGCCAGCCGCCGCGGUAACACCGGCAGCUCAAGUGGUAGCCGCUUUUAUUGGGCCUAAAGCGUCCGUAGCCGGUCUGAUAAGUCUCUGGUGAAAUCCCACAGCUUAACUGUGGGAAUUGCUGGAGAUACUAUCAUGACUCGAGGUCGGGAGAGGCUGGAGGUACUCCCAGGGUAGGGGUGAAAUCCUGUAAUCCUGGGAGGACCACCUGUGGCGAAGGCGUCCAGCUGGAACGAACCUGACGGUGAGGGACGAAAGCCAGGGGCGCGAACCGGAUUAGAUACCCGGGUAGUCCUGGCCGUAAACGAUGUGGACUUGGUGUUGAGAUGGCUUCGAGCUGCCCAGUGCCGAANGGAAGCUGUUAAGUCCACCGCCUGGGAAGUACGGCCGCA
Molecule: ribosomal RNA, 459 nt
Filed under: uncultured archaeon
Lineage: Archaea
Description: bacterial SSU rRNA
Rfam family: Archaeal small subunit ribosomal RNA
Source: RNAcentral